RNAcentral lists this ribosomal RNA (253 nucleotides) under uncultured bacterium. RNAcentral describes it as "partial 16S ribosomal RNA". It matches the Rfam family "Bacterial small subunit ribosomal RNA", at positions 524 to 776 of the family's 1533-position model. The record is from RNAcentral.
UACGUAGGGUGCAAGCGUUGUCCGGAAUUAUUGGGCGUAAAGAGCUCGUAGGCGGUCUGUCACGUCGGCUGUGAAAUCCCGAGGCUCAACCUCGGGUCUGCAGUCGAUACGGGCAAACUAGAGUAUUGCAGGGGAGACUGGAAUUCCUGGUGUAGCGGUGAAAUGCGCAGAUAUCAGGAGGAACACCGGUGGCGAAGGCGGUUCUCUGGGCCUUACCUGACGCUGAGGAGCGAAAGCGUGGGGAGCAAACAGG